GCUCUCAUAGCUCAGUUGGUAGAGCGCAUCCUUGGUAAGGAUGAGGUCAGCAGUUCAAUUCUGCUUGAGAGCUCCA
Molecule: transfer RNA, 76 nt
Filed under: Halodesulfovibrio oceani subsp. oceani
Lineage: Bacteria; Pseudomonadati; Thermodesulfobacteriota; Desulfovibrionia; Desulfovibrionales; Desulfovibrionaceae
Also listed under: 4 other names
Description: tRNA-Thr
Rfam family: tRNA
About the family: Transfer RNA (tRNA) molecules are approximately 80 nucleotides in length. Their secondary structure includes four short double-helical elements and three loops (D, anti-codon, and T loops). Further hydrogen bonds mediate the characteristic L-shaped molecular structure. tRNAs have two regions of fundamental functional importance: the anti-codon, which is responsible for specific mRNA codon recognition, and the 3' end, to which the tRNAs corresponding amino acid is attached (by aminoacyl-tRNA synthetases). tRNAs cope with the degeneracy of the genetic code in two manners: having more than one tRNA (with a specific anti-codon) for a particular amino acid; and 'wobble' base-pairing, i.e. permitting non-standard base-pairing at the 3rd anti-codon position.
Source: RNAcentral